This is a non-coding RNA of Paramuricea clavata, 391 nucleotides long. NCBI's taxonomy places the organism in Eukaryota, Metazoa, Cnidaria, Anthozoa, Malacalcyonacea, Plexauridae. The record is from the annotation of a GenBank genome assembly.
CACGGUCUGUGGAAGAUUCCGACUUCUAAGGUUCCAAAAAAUAAUUUUAUACAAACUUUACUGCUCUAUCAUUAUUAAAUGCCUCAUGUACUAUCCGCCAUGUAAAGUGUAGUGAAAUGUAUCUCAUCGUAAUACUAAAUCCUAAGAAAACUAAAGCCUCUGCGGAGGAGAGAGCCUCAUGUAUGUUUUGUUUGAAUCACUUGUUCAUGAUCAGGUCACGGCGGGUCAAGUACGAUACGGGGAAAUUAGACUAAUUAACAUAUUAUGUUUUACCAACAUUGAAAGAGGACGGAAAGGACAAGUAACAUAAUUAAUUAUAUUGACAGUGUCACAACACUUUUGUGUCUGGGGUUGUAGAUAAAUAUAGAGAUUUAUUAAAAUCACAUCGCAG